GUAGUUAGCCGUGGCUUCCUCCUUAGGUACCGUCAUUAUCGUCCCUAAAGACAGAGCUUUACAAUCCGAAGACCGUCAUCACUCACGCGGCGUUGCUGCAUCAGGGUUUCCCCCAUUGUGCAAUAUUCCCCACUGCUGCCUCCCGUAGGAGUCUGGGCCGUGUCUCAGUUCCAGUGUGGCCGAUCAGCCUCUCAGCUCGGCUACCCAUCGUUGGCUAGGUGGGCCGUUACCCCGCCUACUACCUAAUGGGACGCGAACCCCUCCUUCUGCGGAUUGCUCCUUUGACCUCUGAACCAUGCGGCUCUGUGGUCUUAUGCGGUAUUAGCACUUGUUUCCAGGUGUUAUCCCCCUCAAAAGGGCAGGUUGUUCACGCGUUACUCACCCGUUCGCCACUAACUACAAAUCCGAAAACCUGUAGUCCGUUCGACUUGCAUGUGUUAGGCACGCCGCCAGCGUUCGUCCUGAGCCAGGAUCAAACUCUGA
This 483-nucleotide ribosomal RNA is filed under the name uncultured bacterium. RNAcentral's name for it is "partial 16S ribosomal RNA". The record is from RNAcentral.